RNAcentral lists this long non-coding RNA (2510 nucleotides) under Gallus gallus (chicken). Its description in RNAcentral is "long non-coding RNA NONGGAT007834". Lineage: Eukaryota; Metazoa; Chordata; Aves; Galliformes; Phasianidae. The record is from RNAcentral.
UCCCUGUUGUUACAUUUACCUUGCCAUGAUCAGAUAUAUUUAGUGUGUCUCUUUUGUUUAAAAGCAGAGGUUGAGACUGAUUCUGGAGAUUAUAAAACAAAAAAAGGUUGUGUGGUACAAUGAGGCAUCACAGCAAGGCAGAAGAAAUAAGGGAGGCCCGGAGACACGCUAACUCAUCCCCAGAGCACUGCCAGCCUCUCAGAAGCCAGGCUCUGCAUCACCAGAAGGCCUCCUGCCCUGACUGGACGUCACACUCCUCCUGAUGCAGCCUUCCACCUUUUGCCCAAAGGCUCAAUGAGCCACCAUGGAGGCUCAACCCUCAGCCCGUGCCUUAUGUGACCUGCGUUGUGCCCCGGGGGUGCCUGUGGGGACAUGGUCCAGAUUGAUGCAGCAGCAGGGAAGGCGCAGGCCUCUCAGCCUCCAUCCUAAUGCCCAACGUCCCUACCUGCUCUUAGGCCAAACUUCUCUUAACACAAUGGCAGAACGUGGCCCAGCAUUCAGCACUCGAGAAAUUUUAAAAAUAGCAGUGCCUCAAUUAAAUUGAGGGUAUGAAUCCAGCAGUGGCCAUACCUUCACAGGGGCAAGCAUUUAUCCCUCAUUUCAUCACCCACAGUCAGUUUGUAUUUGGCCAGGACCAAGACACAAAAUGUAUUUGCGUGCUCAAUCAUUUAAAGCAAGCAAAAAUCAGUUACAAGAACAACAACAAAAGUAUGCAUUUUGGUCAACAUAUGGCUGUGUAAACAGCAUCUGGCUCCCAGAUAACACUUAUGGGCAAUUAAGUUGAAGCACGGCUGUGGUCCUGCAGUAAUCUCACAUGCAGUUACAUACAUAAGAUUUGGAGAAGCAGGGCUCCAGUUCCUGUCAAAAGAAAAAAGUUUUCCAGGGUACUGUGUUAAACACAUUUUCAGCUCAUCCUUUAGUAAGUCUCCGGGUUUAAAUCCCAUUCUCAGCUGCUUACACUCUUAAGUCUUUGCAUUCAAGCUGCAGAACGUGUAUUUUCACAUUACUUUUGCUUUGAAACUGGGACCGUGCAGUAUUGUGAUUUAAAGAUUCAGAGCUUUAUUUCUCAUGUUUUGUAAUAACGUUGUACCAUAGUUUUGUACAUAGCUGUCAAUUUAAAAUGAUCUAUGUUUGUUGAAUCUAUGGUGUGAUACCGUGCUGAACAUGAAUCAAGCAGAAGAGAUUGUUACACUUAAAGAACUAUGCCUUUGUAUGGUAACCUGCUCUGUCUAGACUAAUGUUCAGGAUAAACCUUAUUUUGCUUUGCACAAUAGGAAUAGCAACAUCCUUCCAACAUUGAAGACUUUGCUGGACUGAGGUAGAUACUAUGCCAAGAAUUAAAUCACUGGUUUAUUUUAACCAAAUCAUUGUUACUGAGAAUUGUUAACAAAAGCAAAGAUGUGUUUGGAAUAGGUGCGUGGGCAGACUCAGCUCAGGAAGCCUUGCAGAGCAGCACAACCGUGUUGCAGCUGAACUCAUGUUCCUGGCUAGCAGAAGCAAGCUGCAAAACCUCAUAACCCACCCCAGGUUUGACAUAUGAGACCAUCAUGUCACAUUUAAAAGGUUUCUCCUUUUUUCCCCCACUCUAUUCCAGUCUCUGAGCACAUCACCCAAGAAUCAGUCCUUCUUGCUGUCAUUAAUCGAGUUUCUCUGUUCUCAGAUUAGACUCCAGCCUGCAAAAGUCCAACUAGCAAACAUUUUCCCAGCAGCUUUGCCUCCUCCGUGUUGCCAGCAGGAGCCUGCAGCCCAGAUUCGCAGUGAGCAGCCAGCCUCCUCCACCCCACCCUGCUGAUUUAUUGAUAGGAACGAAAUCGCUGUCUGUACUGGGAACAAGCAAGGUGUUUUGGUGUUACCUGCUGAGGGCCUUCAAAGGGAGGGCAUUUGGCAUUACCUUCCCACUGCCUUCAAGCGUUUCUGGGGAAACUGGUAUUUUGAGCCACUGCUGGUUCUUUGUUCUGCAGCCAUUUUUGAUAACUAUAAUAAAUUGUCUGUUAAAAUCAAAUCCCAAUCAGCAGAUCAAAGCACAGUAUUUAUAAUGUAUUACCCCAAAGCAGCUCUGCUUCCAAUACCAUGAUUAUUUAGCAAGAACAGGGGGAUGGAGUCAGAACAACUCAAAGAUGCUCAACUGGGAUGUGCAGUUUUGCUCUAUUUGUCACUGUAGAGUUCAUAACCCAGAAGAUUUUUCAGUGUUUGUAAGACCAAAUCAGUUGCUGGUAAAAGCAAUGAAAUUUGCAGCUAUUUUAACAGGUAUGUGUUCGUUUAAGCCAACAGUGAGUUUGGACCUCAGAAGAGAAUCCUUGUGGUUAUAUUACAGCAACUGCAUAUGGAGUCCAUUAUGUAUACUAGCCUGUGAGCACCACAAGUUUCUAGCUGUCAAAUAACUGCAUAUUCCUCAAAUAAGCAUUGUCUGUAUGAUUAAAAUGAAGUUAUGGAUGAAAUCUGCUGAAGUUUUUUCCAAGAACUUCACAUCAAAAUGUGGAUAUGUUUUAAAGGUUGGAAUUGGAAUUUCA